Molecule: RNA transcript, 1017 nt
Organism: Gordionus sp. m RMFG-2023
Lineage: Eukaryota; Metazoa; Nematomorpha; Gordioida; Chordodea; Parachordodidae
Gene name: tafazzin-like
Exons: 9
Source: RefSeq, a predicted model, not a curated record
GUGUAGAGUUUAUUUUACGAAAAUAUCUUAAAUAUUUUUUUGAUCUUCAAAAAUAAAAUUUUGGGCGUAAUAAAUCUGCAUUUGUUAAACUCUAAUAAGCAUGCAUUCUUAAUAAUGGGUGGUUUUGAAUUUCGCUGGCCUUUUCCAAAGCAGAAUCAACCUCAUCGAAUAUGGUCAAUUUGCAGUUAUCUUGUACUAAAAUUGGGAGUUAUUUACAGCAAAACCAUGUUAAACGUUUUUAAUUCUGUUACAAUUCACAAUCAAAAUAUAUUAGAAAAUGUUCUUGUAAAAAUUGGAACAAAACCAAUUAUUACAUUUAGUAAUCAUUAUUCCUGCAUGGAUGAUCCAGUUUUAUGGGGUAUGCUACCCUGGAAUAAAUUAUCUCCUCAUAAAAUAAGAUGGGCAUUAGGUGCAUAUGAUAUUCUUUUUACUACCUAUAGACAUCAAAUACUUUUUAGUCUGGGUAAAGUCAUUCCAAUAGUAAGAGGAGAUGGUGUUUACCAAAGAGGGGUUGACUUUUGCAUAGAACAAAUCAAUAAGAAUUCAUGGAUUCACAUUUUUCCUGAAGGUAGAGUGAAUACGGAAAAGGAAUACCUGCCAUUCAAAUGGGGUAUCGGUCGAAUAAUCUCCGAAUGCGAUAUCGUACCUAUAGUAUUACCCUUCUUUCAUCUAGGUAUGGAUAAAAUACUACCCAACAAACGUCCUUAUAUUCCGAGGAUUGGCCACGUAAAAAGUAAAUGUAUUUAUUGGUAAUCCUAUAAACCUCACCGAUCUGCUCAAUCAAUUAAAAUCCACGAAAAUUUCGCCGGUCGAAAUGCGUAAGCGGAUAACAGAUUACCUUCAAAAUGAGUUUUUUCAAUUCCGAAGACAAAUCGAAUCGAGUUUGAAAAAGGAAGAAUGAUCGACAUUCUCUGGACCUUUUAUCCCCCAAAAAAUAUUAAACUAUAUAUUAUUAUUUAUUUAUUUUUAUACAUUGCAAAAAAAUAUGUAUAUUAUAGUCCCCCCCCCCCCCCCAAA